AAAGAAUGCUAGUACCUUGGGGCACAUUCCGUGUAUUGAACAUAAUACGUAUGGACAUAGAUAAAAUUACCAUAAAGCUUGAGAUCUAUCAUAUGUAUUUGCCCUGAAGCCUUAGGCAUAAAACGCAAAUACCAAUAACCUUAUGGUUAUAGUACUGAAAACAGCAAGCCCGAGGGCUAAACUGCUAAGUCUAGUAUGAUGACUCGUUCAUAAAAUUCAUUAGCCAGAGGGCUUAAUCGCAAAGAUGUGUUAACCCAUGGGUUCAACAAAAAAUGCAGGUACUUGCAUGGAAUUAGGAUAGAGCGUGAGGGUUAUCCUGUAUAUUAGAAUAAGCUAAGUGCUCAUACAAAAAUGCAAGGAGUUUCCGUUACUAAGGAAACAUGAAGGACCAAAUUGUAAAAUACCAUAUGGAUAAGAAAUCCCCAAUUUCUUGCCCGUGCGGUUCGCUUCAUGGAGCAACCGCUGUCGGAGUCCACGCCGUGGAUGGCCUCAGUUGUCGCCACCGCGCGGAUGCGAGCGGCUGCCGGGGGCUUCGCCAUAGGAGUGGCCUCGCGAGCGAGGGCACACCGAUGUCGAUUCAUCUGUGCUGCUGCCGUGUUGCGUGCGCUGCAAUGGCGACGACCGAAGGUACUAAUUCUUGAUGGGGACUGAUGUGUGUAAUAUUUAAAUUGGAAAAGAAACACUUUGUUCUCGUAGCAAUUUAGAUCAGGCGUUUGGUCUUUGCAUGAUUCUGUUAUGGUAGAUGGCCGCUGCGUCCAAUACGGCUUCGGCGUCACACCCUGCGGCCAAAGUCUUCUUUUCUUCUUGCGCAGUACACUCAAGUGGAGAUGAUUCACGCGAGUGCAUUGUGUACGUGAGAAAACAAUCAAUUGUUAGAUCGUUGAUCAAUCACAAGACUAGAUCAAAUGGACAAUUUCAUCAUUAAUUCGUCUUGUGUACUAUGUCUUGCUGUGAACAGGUCGGUCAUCGAUGCCAUGCGGAGCUACGCGUCGCGCCGUGAGCGCCUGUGGCCGUGGCCGCUGCUGGAAGCGCGGGCGCCGCACGUGGAGAGAGAUCUCGCCGGGGAUAGCAAUGGGGCGUCGGCAUCGCUGUCGAGGGCUGGCCUGGAGCGUGGCCUCGAGCGCUACCGAUCCGUGCGGGGAGACUCGCUGUGUGGCCCGUGCUCUCGGUAGAGGCGUGCGUGAUAACGUGUUAGAGUAAAACGAGAUUGAAUGAAAGUGAAUGAACGGUUAGUCUUUAUUGAUGAUAGCAAUAGGGUAUUUAUACCCGGGCGGAAGU
This 1278-nucleotide long non-coding RNA is filed under the name Hordeum vulgare. RNAcentral describes it as "long non-coding RNA (HVUL_LNC002946)". The record is from RNAcentral. Lineage: Eukaryota; Viridiplantae; Streptophyta; Magnoliopsida; Poales; Poaceae.